UACGUAGGGCGCAAGCGUUGUCCGGAAUUAUUGGGCGUAAAGAGCUCGUAGGCGGUUUGUCGCGUCUGCUGUGAAAACCUAAGGCUCAACCUUGGGCUUGCAGUGGGUACGGGCAGACUAGAGUGCGGUAGGGGUGACUGGAGUUCCUGGUGUAGCGGUGGAAUGCGCAGAUAUCAGGAGGAACACCGAUGGCGAAGGCAGGUCACUGGGCCGCAACUGACGCUGAGGAGCGAAAGCAUGGGGAGCGAACAGG
RNAcentral lists this ribosomal RNA (253 nucleotides) under uncultured bacterium. Its description in RNAcentral is "partial 16S ribosomal RNA". It matches the Rfam family "Bacterial small subunit ribosomal RNA", at positions 524 to 776 of the family's 1533-position model. The record is from RNAcentral.